ACACGACUACAUUAGAUACCCCCGUAGUCCCAGCCGUAAACUAUGCUCGCUAGGUGUCAGGCAUGGCGCGACCGUGUCUGGUGCCGCAGGGAAGCCGUGAAGCGAGCCACCUGGGAAGUACGGCCGCAAGGCUGAAACUUAAAGGAAUUGGCGGGGAGCACCACAACGGGUGGAGCCUGCGGUUUAAUUGGACUCAACGCCGGGAAGCUCACCGGAUAAGACAGCGGAAUGAUUGCCGGGCUGAAGACUCUGCAUGACUAGCUG
Molecule: ribosomal RNA, 264 nt
Filed under: uncultured archaeon
Lineage: Archaea
Description: partial 16S ribosomal RNA
Rfam family: Archaeal small subunit ribosomal RNA
Source: RNAcentral